UGAUGAUGAUGAUGAUGAUGAUGGUGAUGAUGCCGAUCACUAGCAUCAUCAUUCGUUGGUUACUCGUCGUCAACAACAUCUACAACAAUAAAA
RNAcentral lists this microRNA precursor (93 nucleotides) under Bigelowiella natans CCMP2755. RNAcentral describes it as "miRNA EPrBNAG00000013172". Lineage: Eukaryota; Cercozoa; Chlorarachniophyceae. The record is from RNAcentral.